GACGAACGCUGGCGGCGUGCCUAAUACAUGCAAGUUGAGCGCUGAAGGUUGGUACUUGUACCAACUGGAUGAGCAGCGAACGGGUGAGUAACGCGUGGGGAAUCUGCCUUUGAGCGGGGGACAACAUUUGGAAACGAAUGCUAAUACCGCAUAAAAACUUUAAACACAAGUUUUAAGUUUGAAAGAUGCAAUUGCAUCACUCAAAGAUGAUCCCGCGUUGUAUUAGCUAGUUGGUGAGGUAAAGGCUCACCAAGGCGAUGAUACAUAGCCGACCUGAGAGGGUGAUCGGCCACAUUGGGACUGAGACACGGCCCAAACCUCUACGGGAGGCAGCAGUAGGGAAUCUUCGGCCAUAGACGAAAGUUUGACCGAGCAAAGCCGCGUGAGUGAAGAAGGUUUUCGGAUCGUAAAAAUCUGUUUGUAGGGAAGAACGGUGGUGAGAGUGGAAAGCCCAUCCAGUGACCGUAACUACCCAGAAAGGGACGGCUAACUACGUG
RNAcentral lists this ribosomal RNA (497 nucleotides) under uncultured bacterium. RNAcentral's name for it is "partial 16S ribosomal RNA". It matches the Rfam family "Bacterial small subunit ribosomal RNA", at positions 28 to 507 of the family's 1533-position model. The record is from RNAcentral.